This 338-nucleotide transfer-messenger RNA is filed under the name Rhizomicrobium sp. It matches the Rfam family "Alphaproteobacteria transfer-messenger RNA". From Rfam's summary of the family: Bacterial tmRNA, also known as 10Sa RNA or SsrA, is named for its dual tRNA and mRNA-like properties. Lineage: Bacteria; Pseudomonadati; Pseudomonadota; Alphaproteobacteria; Micropepsales; Micropepsaceae. The record is from RNAcentral.
CACCUUCUAAAUUGAGAAGAGGACGCCUAUAUAGGUCCUGUCCGGGGUAACCCAGACUAUGGCGAUAAACGGCUACGUAAUAAGCGGACUGGACCCGGGGGCGGUACCCGGCGCCUCCACCACUUCUUCCAGAGAGACCAAGUCAUUGGUUUCAAAGGACUUUGAGGGGGCGAAAUAGGAUCGACAGACGUGUAAAGGUUGUCCUUUUGCUCGGUAUGGUAUCCGCCGUCAUCGGGCUGUCUGUAUAGGUGCCAACGACAAUGAAAUGGCCCUCGCUGCCUAACUUAUAGUUAGACAAGCGCGGCUGGAGGGGUGCCGGGCAACAGAAACCCCUCGCU